UACGAAGGGGGCUAGCGUUGUUCGGAAUUACUGGGCGUAAAGCGCGCGCAGGCGGUCUUCCAAGUCAGUGGUGAAAGCCCGGAGCUCAACUCCGGAACUGCCAUUGAAACUGUAAGACUUGAGGACGAGAGAGGUGAGUGGAAUUCCCAGUGUAGAGGUGAAAUUCGUAGAUAUUGGGAAGAACACCGGUGGCGAAGGCGGCUCACUGGCUCGUAUCUGACGCUCAGGCGCGACAGCGUGGGGAUCAAACAGG
Molecule: ribosomal RNA, 253 nt
Filed under: uncultured bacterium
Lineage: Bacteria
Also listed under: 2 other names
Description: partial 16S ribosomal RNA
Rfam family: Bacterial small subunit ribosomal RNA
Source: RNAcentral